This 614-nucleotide ribosomal RNA is filed under the name basidiomycete ectomycorrhiza S62. RNAcentral's name for it is "eukaryotic LSU rRNA". It matches the Rfam family "Eukaryotic large subunit ribosomal RNA", at positions 47 to 629 of the family's 3401-position model. Lineage: Eukaryota; Fungi; Basidiomycota. The record is from RNAcentral.
UAAGCGGAGGAAAAGAAACUAACAAGGAUUCCCCUAGUAACUGCGAGUGAAGCGGGAAAAGCUCAAAUUUAAAAUCUGGCGGUCGCUCUGGCCGUCCGAGUUGUAAUCUGGAGAAGUGUUUUCCGCGUCGGACCGUGUACAAGUCUUCUGGAACGGAGCGUCAUAGAGGGUGAGAAUCCCGUCUCUGACACGGACUGCCGAUGCUUUAUGUGAUACGCUCUCGAAGAGUCGAGUUGUUUGGGAAUGCAGCUCAAAAUGGGUGGUAAAUUCCAUCUAAAGCUAAAUAUUGGCGAGAGACCGAUAGCGAACAAGUACCGUGAGGGAAAGAUGAAAAGCACUUUGGAAAGAGAGUUAAACAGUACGUGAAAUUGUUGAAAGGGAAACGUUUGAAGUCAGUCGCGUUGGCCGGGACUCAACCUUGCUAUCUUGCUCGGUGCACUUCUCGGUUGACGGGUCAGCAUCAAUUUUGACCGUCGGAUAAAGGCUGAGGGAACGUGGCAUCCUCCGGGGUGUGUUAUAGCCCUCGGUUCGCAUACGAUGAUUGGGAUUGAGGAACUCAGCACGCCUUUAUGGUCGGGGUAUUUAUACCCACGUUAACGUGCUUAGGAUGCUGG